UCUUUUUCCCAUCCACUGGUUUUGAUCUGCUUUUUCUCUUUUUUUCAUUUUCCCAUCUGUUUCUCUCCCUCUGUGUUUGCAGAGGUUAUUUGGCUGGUGCAAGGAAAGAGAGCUGUGGCAGUUGUGUGUGUACAGAUGAGGCAAAGAGAAGAAAGUCACUCAGGCGGUGAGCUUCACUCAUUUCUGGGAUAUACAACAGAAAGGCAACACAGAGGUGCAGAUACUGUGAAGGUGUCAGAAGGUACCAUGGUCACAAGAAGCUUCAGUACUGCGGGAUGCAGAGCUCUCACAGUGUGUGUAGCGCUUUUCCACUUCAAACUUCCUCUCAUUUUCUGUGGUCACUUCCUGGGUGUCCACAGUCAAGUGGAGGAACGGAACAGGAGAGAAACCAGGUCAUCUACUGCGCUAUGGAGAAAGUGCCGGAGGCCCAGCUGACUCACCCAACCAACAUUAUUGCAUUAUUAUUGCAUUUCUUUCAUUACUGCUAUCACCUGCUUUUUCAAUACCUCUGGCUUGGAGUCACAGUUCCCAAAGAGUUUUCCUCAUGGCCUUACGGAGAGUCACUUCUCACAAAUAUACCUGUUCUGUUACACACACAGAUGCUUUACUGUUUCUCUCGAUCCUCCCAAUCUUAACAGCCCCCUUUCUCUUUCUCUCAUCCAUCGUGUGAAGUUAUUUUUCAAAUCUUUAAAGAAAAGUAAUAAGAUUAGCCUUUGAAAAAACAUCACUUCAAUUCAAUAUUGUUGAGUUGCUGCAAGGGAUAAUUUGCUGGACCAAAAAUGUUUUGCUACAAAUAUUUAAGAAAUGUUUUACUCUAGGGUAAUAUUUUAGCCUAGUAGAUGGUUAUUUCCCAUUUAAUAGCCUGGUUUUACACAUGCAUUUGUGUUAUGGGAUGCAAUUAGGAUGGACAGAAUGUUGUUGUUCAGAAUUAUGUUUUGAGGUCAAAAGCACAGUAAACACCUCAGAUAUAUCACAUUGACCCCCAGUGUGUUUUUUGUUUUAGAGGGGUGCAUUAAUUUGUGCUGCCGAAAUUAUACUGCACUACAUGUAACACCCACAUGUUUAAAGUGAAGUAAUUAUAAUUUGUGGGUUGAGUAGAAUGGUCACAGAGUUUGUAAACAUUGAUGCAGAGCAUUUGUAUCCUAGUCAUAUUGCUCUUUCUGUCUCCAAGAAGGCAGCCGUGGGUGUUUGAUCUCAUUAAUGUGGUGAUUAAGUGUUCAUUGUCUCAUAUUUCUCUACUAGAAAAGAUUCUACUCUCUUUAUGUGCCUGUGAAUUGUAAAUGUAAUGGGACUAAAUGAUACUAUCACGUCCUGCAUGAGCCAUUACUGUUUCAGGGUAAAUGUGUUUCCCAGAAUUAGCAGUAGGUCGGCCCAUUGUGUUAUCACACGUAGUGAUCACGGGGAUGAAUGCUUCACUGAAAUGUUUCCUAUUCAAAUGGUUAAAAUACACAAUUAAAAGUGCAUAACUGCAACUUCAUGCAGUAAAACGUUC
RNAcentral lists this long non-coding RNA (1492 nucleotides) under Oreochromis niloticus (Nile tilapia). Its description in RNAcentral is "lncRNA (ENSONIG00000031576.1)". The record is from RNAcentral. Lineage: Eukaryota; Metazoa; Chordata; Actinopteri; Cichliformes; Cichlidae.